Long non-coding RNA from Dermacentor silvarum, 787 nucleotides. RefSeq lists it as uncharacterized. NCBI's taxonomy places the organism in Eukaryota, Metazoa, Arthropoda, Arachnida, Ixodida, Ixodidae. The record is from RefSeq and is a predicted model, not a curated record. The transcript has 3 exons.
UGACGUGCUUUCAGUCGGUGUGUAAUGUGUAAAUCUCAAAAAUCAUCUGUUGCACUCGAUGAAUUCAUUUUAAAAAAUGUCUUGAAUGCACAGCCAGUUAAGGUAGCAAAUUUCACUUUCAGUACCGAUAUGAAUAAUUAUGUACGUAAACUUAUAUUUUCAAGAAACAUUUUCAAUAAAUACACAAACACUUUGUCAGCGAGAUGUCUUGUUCAGGCCUGGCGAACACUCACCGGAGCCUGAAAUGGAGUGUCCUAGAAAGUAUGUAUGUUGAAGUUUUUUAAAGGCUCAAGCAAAAUACCAGUUUACAUUGAAGAACUCACAAAUGUAAACAUCUCAAUUCAGGAAGAAAGAGAAUAUAGCGAGAAAUUGACCUAGUUGGUGUUCGUUCAUCUUGUCAUGCGCUAAGUACAACAGUAAAUGUAUUAACGCCAUAGGACAGACCAGGCAAGGACUCCAUCGUCCGUCCAUGUCCGGUGUGUCCGAUCGUGGUUGUCAGUUGGAUUAAGCACAAUUACAAGACGAAAUAAAUUCAUAUUUAAUGUAGGCAAUACUCUGUCUUCUAUUUCUUCUUGUUUCAGGUGGACAUACCUUGCGCGGGUUGUGAUGGGUUCCCAGGUCUACCCGACGCCGCGUGGGCAGAAAGACACGUUGUGCAACGCAAUGGUAGUGACGGCUGACUCACUGGAUCACGCUCUCAUGGACGCCAGGAGAACAUGGACACGGCCUCGGGAAAACUACGAGUCCAGUCCCGUCGCGGCGCCUGGCCUACUCGCACUACAGGUAC